UAAAACCUAAUCCUUUUUAUUUCCCUUCUCCUUCUCCGUCUCACGCCGACUCCCCUCACCCGCGCCCGAUUCUUCCCCUCUCUCCCGACGCCGCCUCUCCCUCGGCGUGGAGCGCCGACUGCCACCCUCUCCACCCGACUUCUCCUCCUCCCCUAUUCAUCGCCGACCUUUCCCGAGCCCCUCACGACUUCUCCUCUCUCGCGACGUCGAGCCACCGCCGAUUCCCCUCAUCUCCUCCCGAUCUCCCCCUCCUCUACUUGUUGUCGCCGACCUUCGCAGCUCGACGCCGACUGUUCGAGCCCCAACCCUGACACCACCGAUCAACAAGUGAGAUGCCUCUCCUUUCGUCGGCGUUGUUGGAAAGGGGAUUGAUCCCGAUCUCUCUGCUCCCUCGUUCGUGAUCUCACUGCAUCAGCGUCGUCCUCACCGUGCCCUAAGUCUUGAGCCCUAGCACCUCUGCACUCACUGCAUCUCGCAUUCGGUGUCUUACUUGGUGCUCAGCUUAGCAACACCAUUGUCGUCCAGUGCUUUGGAGCACUCGAUCGGUUGGAGACGAGAGGACGGACUCGAUCACUUUGUCGGACUUUAUCUUGUCCUCUUCAUCAGACCUAGAGUGGUGAGUUCUAUUUUCUUCAUGGCUGCACCCAGAUGCUUCAUCAAGCUACUGAAGAUCUGCAGAUUAGAUUAAGGACGGUGAUUCAAGGUGAGCGUCUCGACAUGAGAUUAAUUUAUCACGAUCGAUAGAUAAAGGCAUCAUGUAGAUAUUUGUGGAGUCACUUGGAGUAUCAUGUUUGCCGGUUCCUACGUCACAUCUGAAGACCUAUUUUCUGGUUUCUUUAGUACUUUGUUUGGUUUAUGUAUUCGGUGUAUUUAGCAUUGUAUAUUCUUGUUUUGUUUAUGGAGUGUUGUUAUGUGUUAUUUUAUGUUGUUUGUGGUUGUUGUAUAAAGCCUAGUCAGCUAGCAGUGUGUCGAUUUGAUUUGUAUGGGGUUUUCUCUAUCA
Molecule: long non-coding RNA, 1000 nt
Organism: Zingiber officinale
Lineage: Eukaryota; Viridiplantae; Streptophyta; Magnoliopsida; Zingiberales; Zingiberaceae
Exons: 3
Source: RefSeq, a predicted model, not a curated record